CUCUGUUCACCUCUAGACCUGAG
RNAcentral lists this unclassified non-coding RNA (23 nucleotides) under Mus musculus (house mouse). RNAcentral describes it as "oocyte_clustered_small_RNA12342". The record is from RNAcentral. Lineage: Eukaryota; Metazoa; Chordata; Mammalia; Rodentia; Muridae.